UGUUGUUGGAUGUGUUGUUGGCGUGAGGGACGGUGUUCUGUGUGUUGUUGGAUGUGUUGUUGGCGUGAGGGACGGUGUUCUAUGUGUUGUUCUAUGUGUUGUUGGAUGUGUUGUUGGCGUGAGGGAUGGUGUUCUGUGUGUUGUUGGAUGUGUUGUUGGAUGUGUUGUUGGCGUGAGGGACGGUGUUCUAUGUGUUGUUGGAUGUGUUGUUGGUGUGAGGGAUGGUGUUCUAUGUGUUGUUGGAUGUGUUGUUGGCGUGAGGGAUGGUGUUCUGUGUGUUGUUGGAUGUGUUGUUGGAUGUGUUGUUGGCGUGAGGGACGGUGUUCUAUGUGUUGUUGGAUGUGUUGUUGGCGUGAGGGAUGGUGUUCUGUGUGUUGUUGGAUGUGUUGUUGGAUGUGUUGUUGGCGUGAGGGACGGUGUUCUGUGUGCUUUCUGAUUAUCCCCCUGUCACCCCUCCUCCAAACCCACCAAAACCAUCAACAGCUCACAGCUCAUUGCAAGACAUUUCUAGGACCUUCUUGGUGUUAUUAAUUCUCUUGCAUUAACACCUAACCUCUCAAACUCACCCAGAAUUGAGUAUUUCCCAGGAAUUGCAUAUUCUCUCUCUUUCUCUCUUUUUCUCAAGCCACCAAGGGCAUUUUCCGCAUGGUCUUUGUCUCUUCUAACUCUCAUCCUCUCUUAUUUUCUCUCCCUCUCUCAUCUAUCUAUCCGUAUAUGGUAUACUUCAUACUUCAGGGCCGACUCUCAGGAGAGCUGCUGUUUCUCAUUCAGAGAUGAUAAAGAGAGAACAGUGAGAGGUCCAUGACUAGACUGUAAAUUGACAGUAGUCACUAACCUUAUCCCUUACAGGACACUGGUGACAGAUGAGGGAAAGUCAUCCAAGGCUAGUAGUUUAGUUGAAGCAGACCACCUACUAACGUGUGUUUCUGUUACUGUGUUUGUGUGCAUAUGUCUGACCAUACUAUUGUAUGUGUGUGCAUACGUGUUCGCUUGUGUGUGUCCUUUCGUGUGUAGUCCAGUCCAGUGGUAGAGCAGUGCACCAGAGUCUCUACUAUGACACAAACAAAUGUCUGGAUGCCACAGCCUCUGAACAAGCUUUCAUCACAUGGGCAUGCAGCGUUAAGGAAAACAAGCUUCUCCAUUGUGCCUCACAAAGGCUGGAGUGCUGACGCUGCAGUCGCAUGAAGCCUGCACUGGUAGCGGGGUCUGGGGCUGGGCAGGGGGUCUGGGGCUCGCUCCGUCAUGAUGGGAUGGGACACUCUUUAAAAACAGCAGGCCCAACUCAUGGAGGCUGGAGGCCCCAGGGAGGUUUAAAGGGCCACAGACACAUCCAGACAGUGCCACCUAUGUGCCACCUGUGCUUUCCAACACAUGUAGAAGGCCCAAGGCUGCAGACAAAGGAUUUGUCCCAAAUGGCACCCUAUUCCCUGUAUAGAUCACUACUAGGGCCCUGAUGAAAAAAAGUGCAAUCUAUAUAGGGAAAAGGAUGCCAUUGGGACGCAGACAUAGAUGGGCACACCUGUGGGAGGGUAGCAACCAGCUCCAUGGCUAUCACACCACUAGGUAUGAGUCUCACCAAUGAUAUGAUCCCAACACAUGUAGGAGGCUUGAUAGAUAGGUAUAAAGCAGAGGAGGCUGGUGGGGAGGAGCUGUAGGAGGAAGGGCUCAUUGUAAUGGCGUGGAUGGUAUCAAUGGAACGGUAUCAAACAUAUGGAAAUCUAGUUUGACUCUGUUCCAUUGAUUCCAUUCCAGCCAUUACAAUGAGCCCAUCCUCAUAUAGCUCCUCCCACCAGCCUCCUCUGAUGGGUACUAGGUAAAUGGCAGUACGUACAGGUCUGGGAUCAGGCUACUGUUUGAGGCUGUAGCAACCAGAUCCAUUGUUAUUAUUAUAGCACCAUGUCGCCCCUCUACACUUCUCACAUUUAUCUGUAGCAUGACUGGCUGUUCCUCAGCUCCUAAUGCAACAGAAUCCCAAUGGUUGUAAUGUGUCGGAGAACAACAGGUGUGUACUCCUAAACCCCGCCACCCCUCCACUCUUCCCCCUCUCUGGUCGAAGAUGUCACCCAUCUGACAUGUGAUUGAAACAGACCUUUAUUUAGCCUUGAACUUUACCGACCGCAACGUUCCAGACAGAAAGAUAAUAUAUUUACACAGAGCAUUGAGAGACACAGUAACCCUAGUAUUUUUAACCUUGCUUGUGUCUCUAGGGAAACGAGGGCACUUAGAUGGGAGUCGGAGGGUAGCCAGUGCUUCCCAUGAGCAACACCGUUACGGAAGUGAAUCCAGGCAGAUGAGUGUAUUUGGUGUGUGUGUGUGUUUUGUUUGUUAGGUGACACAGCAUUUACCUAGAAGAAAAAGAAACGCACACCUAUUAAGGCGAGGUGCUGGCUAGCGGAGUAGAAAACUUGAAAAUAAGGGAGAGCCGCACACUCUAGGAGCUCAGAUGCAAAAAUGUAAUAUCCAACGUUUCGACAGACAAACUGUCUUCAUCAGGGACAGCAUUUACCAACAUAUAAGAGGUUUAUUCUGUUGGAGAUGGAGAAACAGGUUGUAGUAGUCUAAUGUUGAAUGAAAUUAUGAAGGGGAGAGGGAGAAGGACAAGAUAGAGGAAGUGAAUAAAGGUAGGGUGAGAUAUGAGCCCAGAUGAGUUCUAGGGGUGGGAACACACAGUAAGUCAUAUGUAGGAUGACAGGCAAGCAGAAAAUAGCUGGGGCCCAGCAUUCAGCCUCUCCUGUCAAUCAUACAUGAGGCCAGGCAACAAAGAGCAUGUCUGAGACCAGAUCCACAUUACAGGAAUGUCGUCAUGACUACUUAUGGAAACCGUACUUGUGUAGGACUUAUUGGCACUUUGCUAUAUAUUUAUGGAAAAAUAACAUUGGGAUGAAACUCUUGGGCAGUGAUUGCUUCAAACAGUCUAAUGCAGGCUAACAAUCAUGGGCCAUUUUAACGUCUCUGUCUUCUUCAUACUUUGGAUGCGUCCCAAAUGAUACCCAAUCCCCUGUAAAGUGCACUACUGUUUACCAGAUCCCUAUGGGCCGGUGGAAAGGGAACAGCGUGCCAUUUAGGAUGCAACCUUUAUUUCCAACAACAGCAGGUUUCUUGGGCUCCUGAGUGAUGCACCGGUCUAAGGCACUGCAUCUCAGGGCUAGAGGCAUCACUACAGACCCUGGUUCGAUUCCAGGCUCUAUCACAACCGGCCGUAAUUGGGAGUCCCACAGGCGAGGGAUCCCUGCUCACUACGUGUACCCUCAGGCCUUCAUGCAGCCAAGCACCAUGGUCAUUCCCCAUGCCAUGCAGCCCAGCGCAGCCUCUGCCUCCACCGGCUCCUCACCGUACAUCGACUACACUGGAGCCGCCUACGCACAGUAUUCCGCCGCCGUGGCCGCUAGCGCUGCUGCAGCCUACGAGCAGUAUCCCUACGCUGCCUCCCCUGUGGCGGCCGGGUACAUAACUGCGGCCGGUUACGGCUACGUUCAGCAGCCCCUGCCUACGGCCGCACCGGGGUCAGCCGUCGCUGCAGCCGCAGCUUUCGGUCAGUACCAGCCUCAGCAGCUGCAAGCUGACCGCAUGCAAUAGCAGCCACUGCAGCCAUUGGACACGAGGGGAUGGGAGGCCCACGGCUGAUUGGCUGUGCAGAGGAAGGAGGAGGAGGAAGAGAGAGGGGCCGUGUUGUUAAGUGACGGAGUCGUUAAGAUGGUGGUGGUGAGGUGGGAGAUCCAUACAGUAGCUUCCCAACUUGCUGUGCUUAACCCCCCCCCCAAAAAAAAUUAGUAAACAUUACCAAUUCACAGAACAAAAUAAGGUGGAU
This 3808-nucleotide long non-coding RNA is filed under the name Salmo salar (Atlantic salmon). RNAcentral's name for it is "lncRNA (ENSSSAG00000106524.1)". The record is from RNAcentral. Lineage: Eukaryota; Metazoa; Chordata; Actinopteri; Salmoniformes; Salmonidae.